Rhipicephalus microplus (southern cattle tick) is the source of this 675-nucleotide long non-coding RNA. Lineage: Eukaryota; Metazoa; Arthropoda; Arachnida; Ixodida; Ixodidae. The record is from RefSeq and is a predicted model, not a curated record.
GAACGGUGGGGUCAGGUGUUCUGGUGGGGUGUCCUAGACUUCUAGCUCGUGCCCUGAAUGGCAGUUUGCGUCGAUCACAAAGUGAAAGCUAUCUCUCGUCAUUUCGGUUGCUGUGGUUAGAGCUGCGAACGCCAGUUUUGUCACGAAUGCAACGGAAUACACAUGGCCUCUGCGAUUUGUUCCAACAUCGUGCCUGCUGCCAGUCGCCAAGGCCAUGUGUGACAUCACUUAGACUUGCUCUUCACUCGAGCCGGCAUGCAGCACAGGCUGGAGCGCCUCCAGCUAGUAAACCAGAACCCCAACACGAAGGAAAUCGUUGCAGCCAUAACACGAGCCCGGGCUCUGCGCAUGCAAGUACGCUGAAACGAACCCCGAUGCGAAUGCCAAGCCGCAAGAUGAGUCGGCAGAAGACGAAGACGGCGGAUUCCUGGCGCUGUUUCCAACUUUGAUCAUGCCGAUAUCAAGGAGGUUCUUCCCGAGGCUGGCUUUGACGAAAGAAGAGGCUCAGAACCUCGUGAAGUACGACUACCUUCUUCUGCAUCACCACAACGAAACGAACUGACAACGCAGCCCGCGCCUGCAGAGGUCGACGAUUACGAAGUCAGAGAUGCUAACACAGUGCCCGAUACCAGCUGGGAGCAACAGCAAAAGGACAGCAGCAUCGAAAAUCCUUUU